RNAcentral lists this ribosomal RNA (305 nucleotides) under uncultured bacterium. RNAcentral's name for it is "bacterial SSU rRNA". It matches the Rfam family "Bacterial small subunit ribosomal RNA", at positions 336 to 658 of the family's 1533-position model. The record is from RNAcentral.
UUCCUACGGGACGCAGCAGUGGGGAAUAUUGCACAAUGGGGGAAACCCUGAUGCAGCGACGCCGCGUGAGUGAAGAAGUAAUUCGUUAUGUAAAGCUCUAUCAGCAGGGAAGAAAAUGACGGUACCUGAGUAAGAAGCCCCGGCUAACUACGUGCCAGCAGCCGCGGUAAUACGGAGGAUCCGAGCGUUAUCCGGAUUCAUUGGGUUUAAAGGGUGCGUAGGUUGUUUUAUAAGUUAGCGGUGAAAUACCGAUGCUCAACAUCGGGGCUGCCGCUGAUACUGUAGGACUAGAGAUCGGAUGCAGC